AUUGAACGCUGGCGGCAUGCCUUACACAUGCAAGUCGAACGGCAGCACGGGUGCUUGCACCUGGUGGCGAGUGGCGAACGGGUGAGUAAUACAUCGGAACAUGUCCUGUAGUGGGGGAUAGCCCGGCGAAAGCCGGAUUAAUACCGCAUACGAUCUACGGAUGAAAGCGGGGGACCUUCGGGCCUCGCGCUAUAGGGUUGGCCGAUGGCUGAUUAGCUAGUUGGUGGGGUAAAGGCCUACCAAGGCGACGAUCAGUAGCUGGUCUGAGAGGACGACCAGCCACACUGGGACUGAGACACGGCCCAGACUCCUACGGGAGGCAGCAGUGGGGAAUUUUGGACAAUGGGCGAAAGCCUGAUCCAGCAAUGCCGCGUGUGUGAAGAAGGCCUUCGGGUUGUAAAGCACUUUUGUCCGGAGAGAAAUCCUUGGCUCUAAUACAGUCGGGGGAUGACGGUACCGGAAGAAUAAGCACCGGCUAACUACGUG
RNAcentral lists this ribosomal RNA (486 nucleotides) under uncultured bacterium. RNAcentral describes it as "partial 16S ribosomal RNA". It matches the Rfam family "Bacterial small subunit ribosomal RNA", at positions 30 to 507 of the family's 1533-position model. The record is from RNAcentral.